This 232-nucleotide unclassified non-coding RNA is filed under the name uncultured fungus. RNAcentral's name for it is "sequence contains ITS1, 5.8S rRNA gene". The stretch from base 184 to 232 matches the Rfam family "5.8S ribosomal RNA", at positions 1 to 49 of the family's 154-position model. The record is from RNAcentral. Lineage: Eukaryota; Fungi.
UCUCCGUAGGUGAACCUGCGGAGGGAUCAUUACUGAGUGAGGGCGCAAGCCCGACCUCCAACCCCAUGUAAAUCAUACCAUGUUGCCUCGGGGGCGACCCGGCCCUCUGGGCGUCGGGGCCCCCGGUGGCUCACACCUCAACUCUUGCAUCUGUGCGUCUGAGUAACAUAUUGAAUCAAUCAAAACUUUCAACAACGGAUCUCUUGGUUCUGGCAUCGAUGAAGAACGCAGC